GAGCAACGUAAAUGCUGCUCAUAAACCAAUUGAAUGGCGAAAGAGCAACAGGUGUCCGGAGUUGCUGAUUUACGCAUCAUAUUUCUCAUAGCUACAGCUCCAGGGGAUGAUCCAGGGGACCUGUUUUGAAGACCUGGACAUCCUGACAGUGGUGCUGCGGAGGAUCCCAGGAAAGGAAAUCCUUGCAGAAGUGCAUUAAGUCCCAUUUUUUCGUAGCUAACCUCGUUCCCUGCACCUCCUGGUUCCACCUAGUACUCUCCUGCCUGUCUGUCUGAUUACCUUGUCUGCAAUGGUUCACUCUUCUCGAAGCUCCUUCUGCCCACCAAGAGGUU
Molecule: long non-coding RNA, 332 nt
Organism: Phyllopteryx taeniolatus (common seadragon)
Lineage: Eukaryota; Metazoa; Chordata; Actinopteri; Syngnathiformes; Syngnathidae
Exons: 3
Source: RefSeq, a predicted model, not a curated record